This 253-nucleotide ribosomal RNA is filed under the name uncultured bacterium. Its description in RNAcentral is "partial 16S ribosomal RNA". It matches the Rfam family "Bacterial small subunit ribosomal RNA", at positions 524 to 776 of the family's 1533-position model. The record is from RNAcentral.
UACGGAGGGUGCAAGCGUUGUUCGGAAUUACUGGGCGUAAAGAGCUCGUAGGUGGUUUGUCGCGUUGUUCGUGAAAACUCACAGCUCAACUGUGGGCGUGCGGGCGAUACGGGCAGACUUGAGUACUGCAGGGGAGACUGGAAUUCCUGGUGUAGCGGUGGAAUGCGCAGAUAUCAGGAGGAACACCGGUGGCGAAGGCGGGUCUCUGGGCAGUAACUGACGCUGAGGAGCGAAAGCGUGGGGAGCGAACAGG